UACGUAGGGGGCAAGCGUUGUCCGGAUUUAUUGGGCGUAAAGAGCUCGUAGGUGGUUCGGUAAGUCGGAUGUGAAAUCUCCAGGCUCAACCUGGAGGGGUCAUUCGAUACUGCCGUGACUAGAGUUCGGCAGGGGAGUGUGGAAUUCCUGGUGGAGCGGUGAAAUGCGCAGAUAUCAGGAGGAACACCCGUAGCGAAGGCGGCACUCUGGGCCGAUACUGACACUGAGGAGCGAAAGCGUGGGGAGCGAACAGG
Molecule: ribosomal RNA, 254 nt
Filed under: uncultured bacterium
Lineage: Bacteria
Description: partial 16S ribosomal RNA
Rfam family: Bacterial small subunit ribosomal RNA
Source: RNAcentral